Molecule: ribosomal RNA, 500 nt
Filed under: uncultured bacterium
Lineage: Bacteria
Description: partial 16S ribosomal RNA
Rfam family: Bacterial small subunit ribosomal RNA
Source: RNAcentral
AUUGAACGCUGGCGGAAUGCUUUACACAUGCAAGUCGAACGGCAGCACGGACUUCGGUCUGGUGGCGAGUGGCGAACGGGUGAGUAAUGUAUCGGAACGUGCCCAGUCGUGGGGGAUAACGUAGUGAAAAUUACGCUAAUACCGCAUACGAUCUAUGGAUGAAAGCGGGGGAUCGUAAGACCUCGCGCGAUUGGAGCGGCCGAUAUCAGAUUAAGUAGUUGGUGGGGUAAAGGCCCACCAAGCCAACGAUCUGUAGCUGGUCUGAGAGGACGACCAGCCACACUGGAACUGAGACACGGUCCAGACUCCUACGGGAGGCAGCAGUGGGGAAUUUUGGACAAUGGGCGAAAGCCUGAUCCAGCCAUUCCGCGUGCAGGAUGAAGGCCCUCGGGUUGUAAACUGCUUUUGUACAGAACGAAAAGGUUUCUACUAAUACUAGGAGCUCAUGACGGUACUGUAAGAAUAAGCACCGGCUAACUACGUGCCAGCAGCCGCCGUAA